AUGAACCGAGAUGCGCGUCUCGAGGCAGCGCUUCCGAGGGUGCCCGGGAGGCGCGUGACAGCCGCGCACCGCGCGCUUCCCCGGGGGCCGCGGACUCCCCGUCCGCCCCGGGCGUGGGCGAGCGACCGCGACCCGCUGCCCCCCGGCGCCGCCCCCCAUAUCACCUCGGGGCUGCACCUGGAGCUCCCGCGAUGCCCGCCCCCCCCGGGGCGCCCGCCCACGCUGGCUCCUCCGGUUCUGGAGAGUUGUGGGCAGAACAAAAGCGAACCCGAUUGCUUCUCCGAAGGCGCGCGCAGCCCGGGAGGAGGCUGGGGGGGCCGGCCCGGGCCGGGGUGCGGGGUUAGACCCGAUCCGCGGCCCGCGGCCGCCCGCCCUCCCGGCAGAUGCAGGCUGCAGGUUGCAGCGCCGGGGACAGCGCCGGGGACAGCGGCGGGGCUCGCUCCUUCCCUCCCUCCCCGCCCUCUCGGGCGCCCCGAGCCCCCGCCCUGGGGUCGCAGGGGCGGAGAUGGGCACCUGGAUCGGUGGGGCGGGAGGGCGGGGGGGGGGCGACAUACUAACCCUCGAAGGCAGCGCGAAGGAGGCCGGAGGGGAAGAUGCUGCGGACUGGGGCGGACCCCACCGCCGAGCUCCGAAUUUGAACUCGCCUGCGAACCACCCCUGGGCGCCCCCAAACGUGCCACACCGCCCGCGGGGGUGGGGUCCCCUCAACGGCGCCCGGUCCCUAAAUCCUCCGCCCUCUGCACCCCUCGGGGAUGCCCAACCGCAACCUUCCCGUCGGGACCGCAGAUCCAGGGGCGGCCCGGGCGCGGGGGCGGGGGACCGGGUCCCGGAGGCGGCCACGCCGGCCCCGCGGGAGGCACCGGCGCGCAAACUCGCGGUUCGGAAUCCGCUUGCUUCCCGGGUCGGGGUUUUCCCCCAGGUGAGGCGGGGGCGCGGGGACAGCGGGGAAGGAGCGUUUCUGCUUUUCGCUCGGCUUCUCCGGGGCCCCCGAACUCCGAGAGGCGCAGGCACCGGGAGAAGAAAGGAAGCGGAGGGGGAGCCACUUACCCAGAGCGGAGCCCGAGAGCGCGGCGGCCCCGGCGCAGGCGGCGCCUUUGUCUGAGGUCGCGGCGCCGGCGCGCUCGGCCAGGCAGGUCCCGGCCCCGGCGCGCGGCGAGCUCCCGCGGGCGUCCGGACUGCGCGGCUCGCGGCUCCCGCCCCCCGCCCCGGCUCCGGCUCCGGCUCCGGCUCCGGCUCCGCUCCCGCCCCCGCCCCCGCCCCGCGCUCGCCGCAGCCGCCGCCGCCGCCGCCGCCGCCGGCUCCGCCCCGCGCCGGCCCCGCCCCCGGGCCCCCACCUGCUGCGGCCGCCGGGGAGCCGAGCGUGGGGAGCCGCGCGUGGGGAGCCCUGCGUGGGGGGCCUGCCGCCUCCCCGCGCACCCCGCCCCCGCCUCCCCGCCGCCCGCGACCCCUACAGAGACGGCCUCACCCGAGGGCCCGGCGCCCGCAAGCAGGGGAGCCGCCGUGGGGGGCGGGGGGCGGGGGGCGGCCUCCCUGCCCCGGGCGCGCGUCGUCGGGGCCCCGUCACCUUGGAAGGCGGCCCCCACUUUGCCCGGGAGAGGGGAGCCGUCGGGCUCCGGCCAGGAGGGAGGGGGCUGCGGGAAGCAGGGUCUCCCUAACCCCGGCUGA
RNAcentral lists this long non-coding RNA (1665 nucleotides) under Canis lupus familiaris (dog). Its description in RNAcentral is "lncRNA (ENSCAFG00040015346.1)". Lineage: Eukaryota; Metazoa; Chordata; Mammalia; Carnivora; Canidae. The record is from RNAcentral.